This 253-nucleotide ribosomal RNA is filed under the name uncultured bacterium. RNAcentral describes it as "partial 16S ribosomal RNA". It matches the Rfam family "Bacterial small subunit ribosomal RNA", at positions 524 to 776 of the family's 1533-position model. The record is from RNAcentral.
UACGAAGGGGGCUAGCGUUGUUCGGAGUAACUGGGCGUAAAGGGCGCGUAGGCGGAAGAGUAAGUUGUCUGUGAAAACCCCGGGCUUAACCCGGGACGUGCAGGCAAAACUGCAUUUCUUGAAUGUUUGAGAGGUUAGUGGAAUUCCAGGUGUAGGAGUGAAAUCCGUAGAUAUCUGGAGGAACACCGGAGGCGAAGGCGGCUAACUGGCAAAACAUUGACGCUGAGGCGCGAAAGCGUGGGUAGCAAACAGG